UGACGUCAAGUCAUCAUGGCCCUUACGACCAGGGCUACACACGGGCUACAAUGGCCGCAUACAAAGAGAAGCGACCUCGCGAGAGCAAGCGGACCUCAUAAAGUGCGUCGUAGUCCGGAUUGGAGUCUGCAACUCGACUCCAUGAAGUCGGAAUCGCUAGUAAUCGUGGAUCAGAAUGCCACGGUGAAUACGUUCCCGGGCCUUGUACACACCGCCCGUCACA
RNAcentral lists this ribosomal RNA (223 nucleotides) under uncultured Salmonella sp. RNAcentral's name for it is "partial 16S ribosomal RNA". It matches the Rfam family "Bacterial small subunit ribosomal RNA", at positions 1180 to 1401 of the family's 1533-position model. The record is from RNAcentral. Lineage: Bacteria; Pseudomonadati; Pseudomonadota; Gammaproteobacteria; Enterobacterales; Enterobacteriaceae.